CCGUCAGUAAGAUAUAUCCUUACCUGUUACUCCUCCUGGAGUUACAGAAAAUUAUGAAUGGACAAUAUGAGCCAGUGAUUGACUAGCUCACACCCCAGAGGAACUAACAGCUCCUUAGGGUCAUUCUGAU
Molecule: small nucleolar RNA, 130 nt
Organism: Carcharodon carcharias (great white shark)
Lineage: Eukaryota; Metazoa; Chordata; Chondrichthyes; Lamniformes; Lamnidae
Product: U8 small nucleolar RNA
Exons: 1
Source: RefSeq, a predicted model, not a curated record